CAUAAUCAUUAGUCUUUUAAUUUGAGACUGGAAUGAAAGAGUAAACCAAGAGAAUUUCUUUUUAUUUUAAAAAAUGAAUUUUACUUUUUAGUAAAAAGGCUAAAAUAAUUCUUUUAGACAAGAAGACCCUAUAAAACUUUAUAUUUUUUCUUAAAGAAUANNAAAAGGAAAAGUAUUUCGCUGGGGUGGUGGAAAAAAANCNNUCUUUUUUUAAAAAAGUAAACUAACUAGUUUUAAUACCUAGAAUUUCUAAAAAAGAAAUAAGUUACUUUAGGGAUAACAGCUUAAUUCACUUAGAAAGAUCAAAUUGACAAGUGAGUUUAUGACCUCGAUGUUGAAUUAAAAUUCCUUC
Molecule: ribosomal RNA, 352 nt
Filed under: Buthus ibericus
Lineage: Eukaryota; Metazoa; Arthropoda; Arachnida; Scorpiones; Buthidae
Description: partial 16S ribosomal RNA
Source: RNAcentral